GUCUGAGGGACAGGACCAGACCCCAUAUUCCCCAGGGCUUACAUGAGCUGUGCAGGGAAAAGAAAAAAAAAAAUCUUUUUUGUACCAUCACAGCUUACUAAAGGACAACAUUUAGAGAGGGAAUUGAAUAUUGAGCUCUGCUUGUAAACAGAGAAAGACAAGCAUUAGCUGGGAAGAAGGCAGAACUUGUCUCAGAGGAGAAAUUUGUACCUUUCCAGCACAACUCCUGCCUAUUGGAAGGCAGGAAAAACUCCUCUGAGCAAGACCUCUGUGGCCACCAGCUGCCUGCUGUAAGCUCCAGGAGAACAGCUCCAUCAUGCAAGAACUGUGGCAUGUGUCAUGGAUCAGGAGUGGGUGAGACCUGGGAGCCUUUGGCAGUGUUUAGAUCACCAUGCAGUGAAUCAACCAGAUGUUACCAUGUCUCAGUUGUGGCUAGCUCAAAUUUUUGCUGCCCAAUGCAAAACUGUGGUGCUACCACACCAGAUCACUGCUCAGCUGUCCUCCUGCAGCAUAGCUGCAAAUCCAUAGCCUCACUUACUUCUACAGCAGCUUCUCCAGGGAUAACUUGAGAGUAAAAUACAGUCUCUGCUCCUUCAUGCUGAACAACAUAAACCCAGGUGCACCUGGAAGCUAAAACAGUGACCUGGAAUGGCUAAGAGAGCAUAAGGAGAAGAAAAAGCAGCUAUUCUCAGCAACAGGCACUGAGAAAACAAAGGCUGUGUCAUUAAAUCAAUUGUCCCUGUAAAAAAAGGGGGUGACCUGCAAGAUCCCAGGCCAGCAUACAUCAAAGUAGCCAGUACAGAAAAUUUCCCUGGAGACUGACUGACUCAUCAGGAGCUCAGACUUUGCUGUGAUCCUUCUUUGAGCCUUUCCUGUGGCAACAGCUCCCUCCAGCUGCUGCCUCUGCAGCACAGCAUCACCACAAACUGCAGCAGCUCACAUCAAACACCGAGGGAAUGGCAGGUAUUCCCAGGAUUCCUAUGGCUCCAAGUGACAGCUGGGUACCCAGGCACUUAUCCAAUGCCUGUGGUGUCUGCAUUCCCCCUCUCCCUGUGUUGGCAGGGCUGUGACAGAUGCUGGAUGCUUGGGCUGUCUCCUCUCUAAAUGCUCUGUACCACCUGUGCAGAAAAACACACACACCAUUGAGCAGAAAAAAGCAGAAUCGAGGCAAGAUAGACACUUGUCCCUCAGACUCACAGAGAUUUUGCUCUCUCAUACUUUCUGUUAGACCCUGCACUGUAACCCACAUUGCCAGGGUAAGCCUAAACUUGCAGACUGAAUUAUGUUGGAAAUCUGAGGUGCUUGAGUCCAGCCUUUGGCCAAACACCACCAUAUGGAUGAGACCAUGGCACUGAGUGCCAGUCCUUCCUGAAAAACCUCCAGAUACAGUGACUCCAUCACCUCCACUCCAAUGUCUAACCAUUUCUGUGAAGGAAAGUCCUCCCAAUGUCCAACCAGAACCUCCCCAGGUGCAGCUUAAGGCUGUGUCCUCCUGUCCUGUUUCCUGGGAGAAGAGACUAAGCCCACUUGGCUACAAUCUCCUUUCAAGUAGCUGUAGAGACUGCUAAGGUCACCCCUGAGCCCCAUCUUCUCCAGACCAAACACACCCUCAGCUGCUCCUCAAAACCCUCAGCUGUUCCUCAAAACCACUGACGAAGAAGGAAUUCCUGCAGCUUCAAAAGUGAACAGAAGAACAUGGAACAAAUCCCAGUAUAAAAGUCACCAAAUAAUCAUGGAUAGUAAGCAACAUCACUGAGCACAGAGUUUCCCAAGUCAUCACCUUCUUCAAAACCAAUACCAAGUGACAGAAAACACUAAGAUGGUAACACUUCCUGGAAAAAGGCAUCCCUGAGCUAAAAAGGAACAUCAAAACUCUACCUGCUCAUCUGCUGAUUCCAGAAGAAAAAAUGUGGAAGGUAACACAUGGAAAGCAAUCGCAGGAAGCAAUAGGAUCUGGGUGCACAGCACUCUGAAAGCUCCAGAAGUGACACACUGCUCCAGGAUGGCUCUGUAAAGUGCUCCAAUAUAUGUCAGGCACUAUAGAAAUAAAGAAAAAAAGCCAUAGGGUGAAACGCCUCUGAAAGGCAGAGCCUCUGAAAAAGCCAAAUGGGAAAACACUCCAAAAAACACCAAAAAGAUGUGAAGAACCCCUCCAGGGCCAUGUGGUG
Molecule: long non-coding RNA, 2168 nt
Organism: Taeniopygia guttata (zebra finch)
Lineage: Eukaryota; Metazoa; Chordata; Aves; Passeriformes; Estrildidae
Source: Ensembl